RNAcentral lists this ribosomal RNA (250 nucleotides) under uncultured bacterium. RNAcentral describes it as "partial 16S ribosomal RNA". It matches the Rfam family "Bacterial small subunit ribosomal RNA", at positions 525 to 774 of the family's 1533-position model. The record is from RNAcentral.
ACAGAGGGUGCAAACGUUGUUCGGAAUUACUGGGCGUAAAGCGUGCGUAGGCGGCCGCGCAAGUCGGAUGUGAAAGCCCUGGGCUCAACUCAGGAAGUGCACCCGAUACUGCGUGGCUCGAGUACCGGAGAGGUUGGUGGAAUUCUCGGUGUAGAGGUGAAACUCGUAGAUAUCGAGAGGAACACCUGUGGCGAAGGCGGCCAACUGGACGAGCACUGACGCUGAGACACGAAAGCGUGGGGAGCAAACA